This 1227-nucleotide long non-coding RNA is filed under the name Felis catus (domestic cat). RNAcentral describes it as "lncRNA (ENSFCAG00000053054.1)". The record is from RNAcentral. Lineage: Eukaryota; Metazoa; Chordata; Mammalia; Carnivora; Felidae.
UCUUCGCGCUGACAAAAAUGUGGGGUGGGUGGGAUGGAUCCAGAAAAAACAGACCUGAAAAACACAGCCGAUCGCUAGGAGACGGAGCUGAGGAAAGAGAUACAAAGUGCACUUUACAAAAUGAAACUAAGGAUGCCAUUUGGAAGUUUGGGUGGUGUUUAUGCAUCGGUCUACAAAAUGAGAUUCUGAAAAUCUUUCUCCAUAAAGUGAAUUGUCUUUACCCCUGACGCUUCUCCUGAGACCUCUUAUUCGGUGAGUGAAUUGACAAGAGGGGUGUUAGAUAAGGGAUUUCGUCCUUCAAACACUUCCUUAAUCUCCACAGUUGCCGUGGAAUUUGUGUCGUUUUUGCUUGGGCGAUCAGAUUACGUUUCAUAAACAAUAUCCCCUAUGUUUAAAAAUCUUUAAACGGCCACUUGUAAGCGGCUUGACGUGGACUACAGUUAAUGCCUUGUUUGACUUGGCUCUUCCUUUGUCCGUGGGGCUGACGGUCAACUGGUUAUGCCAGCGCCGGACUCCUAAGCAGAGACCCACGUUUUCCAGAAGCUUCUUGCUUGGAAUAGUUCCUUCGUUUUCAGCACGUCAGCUAUCCCUUGUAACUUUCCAGAGAUGGGCAUUUUUGGUGCUUUCGUAGAUUUCUUGUUUUCCCCGGUAUUCACCCUCAGUGUCCUUCUCCCGGCACUUUCCAAGUCAAAAUUGUCAGCUCACCUGACCCGUCAGCACCCUGGGGCCACUGGGCAGAAGUGGGUAUCUGAAGGUGCGUUUGUCACUGCAAUUUUCACUAAGUUUUAAUUUUCAAACUGAGGGAUUAACCCCCCUUUUGUUUGGGGCGCCUGGGUGGUGGCUCAGUCGGGUAAGCGUCCGACUCUUGAUUUCCGCUCAGGUCACCAUCUCACGGUUCGUGGGUUCGAGCCCCAUGUUGGGCUCUGCGCGGACGGUGUGGAGCCUGCUUGGGAUUCUCUCUCUCUCCCUCUCCCUCUGCCUCCUCCUGUUCUUUCUCUCUCUUUAAAUAAGUAAACAUUAAAAAAAAAAAAAGUCUCCUUUUGUUCAUUGGAGCUCGUGUUUAUGGGCUUCUCCCGUAUGUGACUCGCUGGAUCUGAGCUGUCCACUUAAUUCUCCAGUUCUCGGCAGCGUCUAGCGGGUUCUACCUGCAAAAAUGUGUCCCCCCCCCCACUCCGCUCUCACUACCGCGAUCCGCUCUCAACCUACCUGCUUCGUGCUGACUCUCCU